ACCCGUCAUGUCUAGUAUAGCAUUAUACCGUGAAACUGCGAAUGGCUCAUUAAAUCAGUUAUCGUUUAUUUGAUAGUACCUUACUACUUGGAUAACCGUGGUAAUUCUAGAGCUAAUACAUGCUGAAAACCCCAACUUCGGGAGGGGUGUAUUUAUUAGAUAAAAAACCAACGCCCUUCGGGGCUUCUUGGUGAUUCAUGAUAACUUCACGGAUCGCAUGGCCUUGCGCCGGCGACGGUUCAUUCAAAUUUCUGCCCUAUCAACUUUCGAUGGUAAGGUAUUGGCUUACCAUGGUUUCAACGGGUAACGGGGAAUUAGGGUUCGAUUCCGGAGAGGGAGCCUGAGAAACGGCUACCACAUCCAAGGAAGGCAGCAGGCGCGCAAAUUACCCAAUCCCGACACGGGGAGGUAGUGACAAUAAAUACUGAUACAGGGCUCUUUUGGGUCUUGUAAUUGGAAUGAGUACAAUUUAAACCUCUUAACGAGGAACAAUUGGAGGGCAAGUCUGGUGCCAGCAGCCGCGGUAAUUCCAGCUCCAAUAGCGUAUAUUAAAGUUGUUGCAGUUAAAAAGCUCGUAGUUGAAACUUGGGCCUGGCUGGCAGGUCCGCCUCACCGCGUGUACUUGUCCGGCCGGGCCUUUCCUUCUGGAGAACCUCAUGCCCUUCACUGGGUGUGUUGGGGAACCAGGACUUUUACUUUGAAAAAAUUAGAGUGUUCAAAGCAGGCCUUUGCUCGAAUACGUUAGCAUGGAAUAAUAGAAUAGGACGUGCGGUCCUAUUUUGUUGGUUUCUAGGACCGCCGUAAUGAUUAAUAGGGACAGUCGGGGGCAUCAGUAUUCAAUUGUCAGAGGUGAAAUUCUUGGAUUUAUUGAAGACUAACUACUGCGAAAGCAUUUGCCAAGGAUGUUUUCAUUAAUCAGUGAACGAAAGUUAGGGGAUCGAAGACGAUCAGAUACCGUCGUAGUCUUAACCGUAAACUAUGCCGACUAGGGAUCGGGCGAUGUUCUUUUUUCUGACUCGCUCGGCACCUUACGAGAAAUCAAAGUUUUUGGGUUCUGGGGGGGGAGUAUGGUCGCAAGGCUGAAACUUAAAAGAAAAUUUGACGGAAGGGCCACCCACCCAGGCGGUGGAGSCYSYGGCUUAAUUUGACUCAACACGGGGAAACUCACCAGGUCCAGAUGAAAUAAGGAUUGACAGAUUGAGAGCUCUUUCUUGAUUUUUCAGGUGGUGGUGCAUGGCCGUUCUUAGUUGGUGGAGUGAUUUGUCUGCUUAAUUGCGAUAACGAACGAGACCUUAACCUGCUAAAUAGCCAGGCUAGCUUUGGCUGGUCGCCGGCUUCUUAGAGGGACUAUCGGCUCAGCCCGAG
This 1365-nucleotide ribosomal RNA is filed under the name Phoma herbarum. Its description in RNAcentral is "SSU rRNA". Lineage: Eukaryota; Fungi; Ascomycota; Dothideomycetes; Pleosporales; Didymellaceae. The record is from RNAcentral.